AUUGAACGCUGGCGGCAUGCUUUACACAUGCAAGUCGAACGGUAACAGGCCUUCGGGUGCUGACGAGUGGCGAACGGGUGCGUAAUGCAUCGGAACGUACCCAGAGGUGGGGGAUAACGCAGCGAAAGCUGUGCUAAUACCGCAUGUGAUCUGAGGAUGAAAGCGGGGGACCGAGCAGCAAUGUUUUGCCUCGCGCCUUUGGAGCGGCCGAUGUCGGAUUAGCUAGUUGGUGGGGUAAAGGCCUACCAAGGCGACGAUCCGUAGCUGGUCUGAGAGGACGACCAGCCACACUGGGACUGAGACACGGCCCAGACUCCUACGGGAGGCAGCAGUGGGGAAUUUUGGACAAUGGGCGCAAGCCUGAUCCAGCAAUGCCGCGUGCGGGAAGAAGGCCUUCGGGUUGUAAACCGCUUUUGGCAGGAACGAAACGGUGUCCGCUAAUACCGGGCGCUAAUGACGGUACCUGCAGAAUAAGCACCGGCUAACUACGUG
Molecule: ribosomal RNA, 492 nt
Filed under: uncultured bacterium
Lineage: Bacteria
Description: partial 16S ribosomal RNA
Rfam family: Bacterial small subunit ribosomal RNA
Source: RNAcentral